UGCCCUUCACCCUUGCAUUUGUCUGACUGUACCCCCGUGGGGAUUCUGCCCUGCUCACCCGCAGUGCUUCUCUUGGUGGUGCAGAUUCGUGGCUGUUGGUGUGGAGCGUGGCUGGCACUGCUCAGAGUGCCUGAGAGGAAGGAUAGGCACCUUGUGUGGUCUUGCAGACGUGCCAAGGCUGCUAUGCAGCUCUGACUGCAUGGGGGCUGAGGAGGGGGCUUGCAGUGGUGGCCACAGCCAGCAAGGGGCCUUUACUGAAGAGAAAUGAGGAUUCUUGCAUCUAGGUUCAGGUCCAUGGUGGAACAGACCAGACUCAGUGGGGCCCUGAGUUCAUCCUGGUCUGAGAGCAGUGCUGCUUGGGAAUGUAUCAGAAGAUCCAGGACUGGGAACUUCCAUGCUGCCUCCAGCAGGAAAGAAGGUGCCUGUUUCAGAAGCUGACUUUCGAAAAGCUUCAGUGACCAUCCUUCUCUCUUGGUUGAGCUGUGUGAGUGUACCCGGAGAAAUGCGAGAAGCAGAAUUGCUAACUUGGAGAGUCAGGGAGACAGUUGAGGUCUCGUGCUGCUGUGUCCCAGGCUUUCUAACCAGCCUCACCCCCUUAGGAGGUCAUCUUGUGAAGUCCAAGGAACUGUUUCCACUUCUGAGUGUGUGCUUGUGGUUCCCCUGUAUUUCUUGAAGGCCAUUCUGAUAACAGUCAUCUGACUUUCUGGUCCCAAACCUCUGAUGCUGUAUUUUUACUGAAGGACAUCAUCUUUUUGACUUGUGGGCUCCUCCACUCAGCCUUACCCACUCCUGACUUCUCUAUCCUUCCAUGCCUGUGGUCACGGAGCAACUUUAGCCCUGGCUGGCUGGGAAGCCAGUAGGUAAGUCUUGAGACUCCUUUCUGAGAAGUGCACAGGGAUUCGUUGAGCACCUCACCCAGCACCAGGCACCUUGGUGACCAUGUCAAGUGGAGCACACUAAUCAGCUUCCCUGCUACCCCUGCUGACCUGGAACCAGUCUCAGAGCAGUCUAUCCUCUUCCCACUGCCUCAUGCUGCUAAAGACAGGUGGAUCCUCAGCUUACACCCAGUUAGAAGGAUGCUCGAAGCCUCGUGCAGGCUGCAAGGGACCACUUAGCACUGGUGACUAUGUCACUCAGCUGAAUUCCAGUUGUCCAGUUCCCAGAAACUCCCCAAAGUGAGUCUCUGGGUUCAAUCACGCAAUCACGUUGUAUCCUGCUUCCUGUGGGCUGGCCCUGCAGGGCCAGGAGUGUGGCCGAGGUGCCUAGCUGAUGACAGUAGGCAGAAGGAUUCAUUCAUUGACUCUCAGCUUUUGCAUGUAU
This is a long non-coding RNA of Castor canadensis (American beaver), 1320 nucleotides long. RefSeq lists it as uncharacterized. NCBI's taxonomy places the organism in Eukaryota, Metazoa, Chordata, Mammalia, Rodentia, Castoridae. The record is from RefSeq and is a predicted model, not a curated record.